This 491-nucleotide ribosomal RNA is filed under the name Gryllidae gen. 2 sp. 8 JD-2021b. RNAcentral describes it as "partial large subunit ribosomal RNA". It matches the Rfam family "Bacterial large subunit ribosomal RNA", at positions 1833 to 2582 of the family's 2925-position model. Lineage: Eukaryota; Metazoa; Arthropoda; Insecta; Orthoptera; Gryllidae. The record is from RNAcentral.
CUUCAUGGAUUUAUAUGAAGUCGGGCCUGUCCACUGAAAAUGUUUUGAAGGGCCGCGGUAUUUUGACCGUGCAAAGGUAGCAUAAUCAUUAGUCUUUUAAUUGAAGGCUGGAAUGAAUGGUUUGACGAAAUAAUAGCUGUCUCCAAUAUAAUUAUAUUGAAUUUUACUUUUGAGUUAAAAGGCUUAAAUGUUAAUAAGGGACGAGAAGACCCUAUAGAUCUUUAUGUUGUAAUUUAUAUUAUUAAUUUUAGUUGUUAAUUUUAUUUUAUAAUUUACAUUAUUUUAUUGGGGUGAUAUGAGAAUAUAAUAACUUCUUAAUUAGGUACUUUGAUAAAUGAUUAAUUGAUCCUUUAAUAUGGAAUGAAGAUUAAGAUACCUUAGGGAUAACAGCGUAAUUUUAUUGAAGAGUUCUUAUUGAUAAUAAAGAUUGCGACCUCGAUGUUGGAUUAAAAGUAUAUAUUGGUGUAGAAGCUAAUAUAAUUAGUCUGUUC